UUACUCGUUUGUUUUGCGACUGAUGAAAUGCCGGCAUAUAUAUAUUUUCAACAUUUGACAUAACCCUGUAUGUUUUGCAGGGACAACCCAGGACGUGCAUUUCUCAGCACCCAGUCAACUGCCAAAAGUGACUCAAACACAGGCCACCAGUGGAACUCGGCUGUACCACUGCAAUGCUGCGGGAAUUGCCUUCACCAGCGGCUUUGCAACAGCUGUUUCGCAGCAUGUCGGAGACAAUGCCUAUGAAAUUAUUGGCCCUGAUCAUGAGAGCCCUUAAGGGGCAAACAACAUCUCUGUUGCAGAAGUGAGCCCGAUACCACUUGGAAGUUACCAUGACAGAUGACACGGCAGCAAUAGAUACAGAGACUUCCAUGUCUACUGCAGCUGCAACAGUGUACGAGGCAAGCAGCAGCGCGUCAGCAUCAGCAGCAGUGUCAGAAGGAACCACACCAGGCCUGGUAGAGCAACAUGUGUGCUAUCACUGACUUUUUUUGUAGUGGAUACAACUCAUUUGCUCAACAUACAAAAGCUUUUCACCACGACUGUGAGCCAGUGUUAUCGUGCAGCAAGUGCAAGACUAAGUUAGGUGUUAUAACACAGUACAAGCAUCACUUUAA
Molecule: long non-coding RNA, 617 nt
Filed under: Dermacentor andersoni
Lineage: Eukaryota; Metazoa; Arthropoda; Arachnida; Ixodida; Ixodidae
Description: uncharacterized LOC126534953
Source: RNAcentral